UGAUCUAGUGGAACCAGUUUACCUGCAUUUCCUUGGACUUCCAUCCCUAGACUGACCCAGGCUGGGAAGCCACAAUGAGGACGGGGCUGGCAGAAAAAAACACGGCCCCCACAGGCCGAGGAGACAAACCUCAGACAGAAUCCUGCUGCCACAUCAGCUCCUGGACAGAUGCGCCGCCCUAGCUGCUCUUUAGCCCUGGAGGCGAAAGCAUCCACGGCCCAGCAGCAGGAAGGAAUGAGGGUCGGCUAGAAAGUGACCUGUCUGGAUCGCCCACCCCAGGCUGCCCACGCUCGCACUCUGCCCCUGGGGAGGAAGGAGAAGCCUCCAGCAUAAGGCUGCCAGGCAGGCGAGUGUGAGAGCAGACCCCAGGAUGUCUGAAGCUCCUUCAAUGCCAAUUACUGCAGAAAUAAUUCAGCGUGCUCACCCCCCCGCCUCUCAGCACACACUCUUUGGGGACGUUUUAAGUCUGACUGUACCUGCUGAGCAGCUGACAAAUGAAGCCUCUUGCUCGCUCUGCCUCCCUCCUUCCCGACUGCCGUCCCUCCACCCCUCUGCCCAGGCUCAUUGAUGGCGGGGAAACGGAGAGCUGGGUGUUCUCAUCCUGCACCCCUCCUCCCCGUGCAGGGCCUGCUCAGACCGGUGCCGUGUGCCCGCUGUCUGGGCUCUGCUUCCAGAUGAGGGGUGGCAGGGCUGGGUUCCCUGGAGUCCGUCCACCCCACAGGUCCUUACAGGCAGGAGCUGUGGCUUAUUCAGCUUUGGUUAGCUGUCAAGAAAUA
Long non-coding RNA from Prionailurus viverrinus (fishing cat), 776 nucleotides. RefSeq lists it as uncharacterized. The transcript has 3 exons. The record is from RefSeq and is a predicted model, not a curated record. Lineage: Eukaryota; Metazoa; Chordata; Mammalia; Carnivora; Felidae.